Molecule: non-coding RNA, 30 nt
Filed under: Rattus norvegicus (Norway rat)
Lineage: Eukaryota; Metazoa; Chordata; Mammalia; Rodentia; Muridae
Source: RNAcentral
UACUUUCACAUUUUGUUGACAUUGCUGGUU